Molecule: ribosomal RNA, 849 nt
Filed under: uncultured bacterium
Lineage: Bacteria
Description: bacterial SSU rRNA
Rfam family: Bacterial small subunit ribosomal RNA
Source: RNAcentral
AGUUUGAUUCUGGCUCAGGAUGAACGCUAGCGGCAGGCUUAACACAUGCAAGUCGAGGGGCAGCAUGUCCAGCAAUGGAUGAUGGCGACCGGCGGAAGGGUGCGUAACGCGUGAGCAACAUGCCCUAUACAGGGAGAUACACCAGGGAAACUUGGUCUAAUAUCCCAUAGCAUUCAUUGAAGGCAUCUUUAAUGAAUUAAAGCUUCGGUGGUAUAGGAUUGGCUCGCGUGACAUCAGCCAGAUGGUGAGGUAACGGCUCACCAUAGCAAUGAUGUCUAGGGGUUUUGAGAGGAAGGCCCCCCACACUGGGACUGAGACACGGCCCAGACUCCUACGGGAGGCAGCAGUGAGGAAUAUUGGACAAUGGAUGGAAAUCUGAUCCAGCCAUGCCGCGUGCAGGAAGACGGCCUUAUGGGUUGUAAACUGCUUUUAUACGGGAGCAAUAAGGGUUACGAGUAAUCCGAUGAGAGUACUGUAUGAAUAAGGAUCGGCUAACUCCGUGCCAGCAGCCGCGGUAAUACGGAGGAUCCGAGCGUUAUCCGGAAUUAUUGGGUUUAAAGGGUGCGUAGGCGGCCAUUUAAGUCAGCGGUGAAAUUUUGCAGCUUAACUGUAACAGUGCCGUUGAUACUGUUUGGCUAGGAUUUGGUUGUAGUGUGCGGAAUGUGUGGUGUAGCGGUGAAAUGCUUAGAUAUCACACAGAACACCGAUUGCGAAGGCAGCACACUAAGUCAUUAUUGACGCUGAGGCACGAAAGUGUGGGGAUCAAACAGGAUUAGAUACCCUGGUAGUCCACACUGUAAACGAUGAUAACUCGCUGUCGGCGAUACACAGUCGGGGCCAAGCGAAAGC